ACUAGUGGCGGACGGGUGAGUAAUGUCUGGGAAACUGCCUGAUGGAGGGGGAUAACUACUGGAAACGGUAGCUAAUACCGCAUAACGUCGCAAGACCAAAGAGGGGGACCUUCGGGCCUCUUGCCAUCGGAUGUGCCCAGAUGGGAUUAGCUAGUAGGUGGGGUAACGGCUCACCUAGGCGACGAUCCCUAGCUGGUCUGAGAGGAUGACCAGCCACACUGGAACUGAGACACGGUCCAGACUCCUACGGGAGGCAGCAGUGGGGAAUAUUGCACAAUGGGCGCAAGCCUGAUGCAGCCAUGCCGCGUGUAUGAAGAAGGCCUUCGGGUUGUAAAGUACUUUCAGCGGGGAGGAAGGGAGUAAAGUUAAUACCUUUACUCAUUGACGUUUACCCGCAGAAGAAGCACCGGCUAACUCCCGUGCCAGCAGCCGCGGUAAUACGGAGGGUGCAAGCGUUUAAUCGGAAUUACUGGGCGUAAAGCGCACGCAGGCGGUUUGUUAAGUCAGAUGUGAAAUCCCCGGGCUCAACCCUGGGAACUGCAUCUGAUACUGGCAAGCUUUGAGUCUCCGUAA
Molecule: ribosomal RNA, 573 nt
Filed under: uncultured bacterium
Lineage: Bacteria
Description: bacterial SSU rRNA
Rfam family: Bacterial small subunit ribosomal RNA
Source: RNAcentral